AAAAAAAAAAGAAGCCCUUUUUUUUUUCUUCUCUCUUCUUCUUCAACCGCACGCCGGCCGGCCGUCGGUACCGCCGUCGUUCGCCGUCGCCGGUCGUCGUCUCCGAUGGUCGGAAAAACCCCAAAAUUCUCCCACGAACUCUUCUCGACCCCCUGAGCACAGAUCUGACCUCCUUUUCACCGAAAACGGCCUUGAUUCGCGUAGAUCGGGUUUUGAAGUUUUCGGUUUUUCUUCUCUCUUUUUUUUUCGGUGAAACUGAUGAUUUCUUGGCUUUUGCAGGUGGCUCGGCGCUGAGGUUCCUCGCCUACGGCGAGGACUGUGUUAUUUUUUUGGUUUUUGUUUUCGUUUCUGUAGAUUUUUUUUUUUUUUUUGGCCGUUCUUUUUUGGUCCGCCCCCUCUUUUCCCUCUGGUUUGCAAGCUCUAUUUAUAGAGCUUGUUUGAGAUUCAAAUUUCAGAUUUUCUGGGAUUCGAAAAUCAUACCUACCGUCCGUGAUUGGUGGCUUGUCAGAAGGCCGGUUGGGUAGUUGGUCGGACCAGUUCGGCGCCGUAC
This 550-nucleotide long non-coding RNA is filed under the name Durio zibethinus. RNAcentral describes it as "long non-coding RNA (DZIB_LNC001317)". The record is from RNAcentral. Lineage: Eukaryota; Viridiplantae; Streptophyta; Magnoliopsida; Malvales; Malvaceae.